This 460-nucleotide ribosomal RNA is filed under the name uncultured bacterium. RNAcentral's name for it is "partial 16S ribosomal RNA". It matches the Rfam family "Bacterial small subunit ribosomal RNA", at positions 338 to 795 of the family's 1533-position model. The record is from RNAcentral.
CCUACGGGAGGCAGCAGUGAGGAAUAUUGGUCAAUGGGCGCGAGCCUGAACCAGCCAAGCAGCGUGAAGGAUGACUGCCCUACGGGUUGUAAACUUCUUUUAUAAAGGAAUAAAGUGAGGCACGUGUGCCUUUUUGUAUGUACUUUAUGAAUAAGGAUCGGCUAACGCCGUGCCAGCAGCCGCGGUAAUACGGAGGAUCCGAGCGUUAUCCGGAUUUAUUGGGUUUAAAGGGAGCGUAGGUGGGUUGUUAAGUCAGUUGUGAAAGUUUGCGGCUCAACCGUAAAAUUGCAGUUGAUACUGGCAGCCUUGAGUACAGUUGAGGGAUGCGGAAUGCGUGGUGUAGCGGUGAAAUGCUUAGAUAUCACGAAGAACUCCGAUUGCGAAGGCAGCUUACUAAACUGCCACUGACGUUGAUGCUCGAAAGUGUGGGUAUCAAACAGGAUUAGAUACCCCAGUAGUC